RNAcentral lists this ribosomal RNA (269 nucleotides) under uncultured prokaryote. RNAcentral describes it as "partial 16S ribosomal RNA". It matches the Rfam family "Bacterial small subunit ribosomal RNA", at positions 524 to 792 of the family's 1533-position model. The record is from RNAcentral.
UACGUAGGUGGCAAGCGUUAUCCGGAUUCAUUGGGUUUAAAGGGUGCGCAGGCGGGAGAUUAAGUCGGCGGUGAAAUUUUGCAGCUCAACUGUAAAAGUGCCUUCGAAACUGGUUUCCUUGAGUGUAGAUGAAGUAGGCGGAAUUUGUGGUGUAGCGGUGAAAUGCUUAGAUAUCACGAGGAACUCCGAUUGCGCAGGCAGCUUACUAAACUACUACUGACGCUCAGGCACGAAGGCGUGGGGAUCAAACAGGAUUAGAUACCCUGGUA